Molecule: ribosomal RNA, 253 nt
Filed under: uncultured bacterium
Lineage: Bacteria
Description: partial 16S ribosomal RNA
Rfam family: Bacterial small subunit ribosomal RNA
Source: RNAcentral
UACGUAGGGGGCAAGCGUUGUCCGGAAUCAUUGGGCGUAAAGCGCGUGUAGGCGGCUAGAUAAGUCUGCUCUGAAAGCCCGGGGCUCAACCCCGGGAGGCGGGUGGAUACUGUCUAGCUCGAGUCCGGAAGAGGAGUGUGGAAUUCCUGGUGUAGCGGUGAAAUGCGCAGAUAUCAGGAGGAACACCAAUGGCGAAGGCAGCACUCUGGGACGUGACUGACGCUGAGACGCGAAAGCGUGGGGAGCGAACAGG